AGAGACAGCAGCGCCGCGGUAAUACGGAGGGUGCAAGCGUUAUCCGGAUUUAUUGGGUUUAAAGGGUCCGUAGGCGGACUUAUAAGUCAGUGGUGAAAGCCUGUCGCUUAACGGUAGAACUGCCAUUGAUACUGUAAGUCUUGAGUAUAUUUGAGGUAGCUGGAAUAAGUAGUGUAGCGGUGAAAUGCAUAGAUAUUACUUAGAACACCAAUUGCGAAGGCAGGUUACCAAGAUAUAACUGACGCUGAGGGACGAAAGCGUGGGUAGCGAACAGGAUUAGAUACCCCGGUAGUCCCUGUCUCUUAUACC
This 309-nucleotide ribosomal RNA is filed under the name uncultured bacterium. Its description in RNAcentral is "partial 16S ribosomal RNA". It matches the Rfam family "Bacterial small subunit ribosomal RNA", at positions 504 to 808 of the family's 1533-position model. The record is from RNAcentral.